This 465-nucleotide ribosomal RNA is filed under the name uncultured bacterium. RNAcentral's name for it is "partial 16S ribosomal RNA". It matches the Rfam family "Bacterial small subunit ribosomal RNA", at positions 28 to 507 of the family's 1533-position model. The record is from RNAcentral.
GACGAACGCUGGCGGCGUGCUUAACACAUGCAAGUCGAACGGAAAGGCCCCUUUGGGGGUACUCGAGUGGCGAACGGGUGAGUAACACGUGAGUAACCUGCCCUUGACUUCGGGAUAACUUCAGGAAACUGGGGCUAAUACCGGAUAGGAAUCCUUGCUGCAUGGUGGGGGUUGGAAAGCUUCGGCGGUUUUGGAUGGACUCGCGGCUUAUCAGCUUGUUGGUGGGGUAGUGGCUUACCAAGGCUUUGACGGGUAGCCGGCCUGAGAGGGCGACCGGCCACAUUGGGACUGAGGUACGGCCCAGACUCCUACGGGGGGCAGCAGGGGGGAAUAUUGCACAAUGGGCGGAAGCCUGAUGCAGCAACGCCGCGUGCGGGAUGACGGCCUUCGGGUUGUAAACCGCUUUCAGCAGGGGCGAAGCUUGUGGUGACGGUACCUGCAGAAGAAGCACCGGCUAACUACGUG